ACAGAGGGUGCGAGCGUUAAUCGGAAUUACUGGGCGUAAAGCGUGCGUAGACGGUUAUUUAAGUCGGGUGUGAAAUCCCCGGGCUUAACCUGGGAACUGCGUUUGAAACUACAAGGCUAGAGUGUGGCAGAGGGGGGUGGAAUUCCACGUGUAGCAGUGAAAUGCGUAGAGAUGUGGAGGAACACCGAUGGCGAAGGCAGCCCCCUGGGUUAACACUGACGCUCAGGCACGAAAGCGUGGGGAGCAAACAGGA
Molecule: ribosomal RNA, 253 nt
Filed under: uncultured prokaryote
Description: partial 16S ribosomal RNA
Rfam family: Bacterial small subunit ribosomal RNA
Source: RNAcentral